UGGUGGAGUGAUUUGUCUGGUUAAUUCCGAUAACGAACGAGACCUUUACCUGCUAAAUAGGAACUUGCGACACAUUAGGACGGAUUAAUACGAAUCAUUAUUAAGCGUCGCCUUUAUUGUUGUGGCGUGUACAUAUCGACACCGGUUAUCCGUUCGUCCUCGUCCUACUUCUUAGAGGAACAGCCGGUGUUGCAACCGGAGGAAGUUUAAGGCAAUAACA
RNAcentral lists this ribosomal RNA (220 nucleotides) under uncultured eukaryote. RNAcentral's name for it is "partial 18S ribosomal RNA". It matches the Rfam family "Eukaryotic small subunit ribosomal RNA", at positions 1299 to 1458 of the family's 1831-position model. The record is from RNAcentral.